This 509-nucleotide ribosomal RNA is filed under the name uncultured bacterium. RNAcentral describes it as "bacterial SSU rRNA". It matches the Rfam family "Bacterial small subunit ribosomal RNA", at positions 8 to 526 of the family's 1533-position model. The record is from RNAcentral.
AGGGUUUGAUUAUGGCUCAGGACGAACGCUGGCGGUGCGCCUUAUGCAUGCAAGUCGAGCGAAGCUUUUCAGUAGUUUACUACAGAAAAUGACUGAGCGGCGAACGGGUGAGUAACGCGUGAGCAACCUACCUUAGUUACUGGGAUAGCCCGAGGAAACUCGGAUUAAUACCGGAUAUUCUUAUUUAAUCACAUGAUUUUUUAAGGAAAGGUCAGCCGAACUAAGAUGGGCUCGCGUUCUAUCAGCUAGUUGGUAGGGUAAUGGCCUACCAAGGCUACGACGGAUAGCUGGUCUGAGAGGACGAUCAGCCACACUGGGACUGAGACACGGCCCAGACUCCUACGGGAGGCUGCAGCAGGGAAUAUUGCGCAAUGAGCGAAAGCUUGACGCAGCGACACCGCGUGUGGGAUGACGGAUCUAGGUUUGUAAACCACUUUCAGGAGGGAAGAAAAUGACGGUACCUCCACAAGAAGCCCCGGCCAACUACGUGCCAGCCGCCGCGGUAAUAC